AUCGCUUCUCUGCCUUUUGGCUAAGAUCAAGCGUAGUAUCUGUUGUUAUCAGUUUAAUAUCUGAUACGUCCUCUAUAUGAGGACUACAUAUUACAUUGAUUUUUAGAACAGGGAGACGGAAGAGGGGCUUGCUCCGUCUGCUCCACGCAUCAACCUGGCAUUGCAGUACCUCCGGGAACGGUGCACCUCCU
This is a small nuclear RNA of Pygocentrus nattereri (red-bellied piranha), 191 nucleotides long. Its record names the gene U2. It matches the Rfam family "U2 spliceosomal RNA". From Rfam's summary of the family: U2 is a small nuclear RNA (snRNA) component of the spliceosome (involved in pre-mRNA splicing). Complementary binding between U2 snRNA (in an area lying towards the 5' end but 3' to hairpin I) and the branchpoint sequence (BPS) of the intron results the bulging out of an unpaired adenosine, on the BPS, which initiates a nucleophilic attack at the intronic 5' splice site, thus starting the first of two transesterification reactions that mediate splicing. NCBI's taxonomy places the organism in Eukaryota, Metazoa, Chordata, Actinopteri, Characiformes, Serrasalmidae. The record is from Ensembl.